GACCUGGCUGGGUGGUCUUGCCGCAAGGUAAGCACUGCCUCUGGUCGGGUCUUUCCUUCUGGGGAACCUGUGUGCCCUUAAUUGAGUGCGCAGGGGAUCCAGGACUUUUACUUUGAAAAAAUUAGAGUGUUCAAAGCAGGCCUUUGCUCGAAUAUGUUAGCAUGGAAUAAUAAAACAGGA
This 180-nucleotide ribosomal RNA is filed under the name uncultured Glomeromycotina. RNAcentral's name for it is "partial small subunit ribosomal RNA". Lineage: Eukaryota; Fungi; Glomeromycota. The record is from RNAcentral.